CUCCCAGACGCUGCCCCGGAAGCUGGGCCGGCCUCAGGCAGGUGGGUGAGCAGCCCGGAGAGGUCGCCCGCCCACCACCUCAUCGGCUUGGCCAGCACCCACCGGCCCCCGGGAGGCCUGGCCGUGAGCAAUCACAGUGCGGGGUGCGCUGUGUCGCUCCUGUGGGCGUGGGCGCUUCCGAGGGCCAUAGCGCGUUCAGGUUUCCGGUUCUUUCCGUGAUGAUUUCGGGGUUCUGUGCAACCCCAAGGAAAGCCCCUGAGGGCUGGAGCAGGCUGCAGUGCCUGGAGGCUCAGUGGGGGGCGCCUCGCCCUCCCCAAGCCGGACUGGGUCCCACACUAAGGCGAGUUCUGGGAGUGCUCACUGGAUGGUCUGGAAGAUGGACCGACUGAGGAUGGGGGGGCCCACCAGCAGGCAUGAGACACGGGACCUGGGCCGUGGGACCCAGGGACAGGCCUCUGGGGGCUCCAGCACCUGCCCCAGCACAAGACGCCCAGCACAGGGCUCCCGUGGAGGCGGGGCAGGGCAUGGCCAGACGUUCCACAGACUGCCCUUCACACUGCAGCCUGGCCCACGUGUCCACACCUGGACUUGGCUGUGGCUCCCAUCCGCCACCUCACCCUGCACCUGUCAGGCCGGGGCCCAACCGCGCCACCUCUGUCCUCCGCACCUGGAACACCUCCCACCCCCUUCCCCUGGCAAACUUCUCCUCAUGCUUCAGAACCCCUUCCAGCCUCUCGGGGCCACUGCCAGACAUGGCCCCAGACUCGUGCUGGCAACACCCCCCAGGACCUGGCUCCCUGCUCCUCCCCCCAGGGGCCCCUGAGGGCACAGUGUGUUUCCCACUCCCCUGGGGCAGCAGGGUCCAAACGGGGUAGCAAGAAGGCCAAAAGCUGGGAGGGAAGCACCUGAGCCCCUCGUGCAGCCACCUCCCCGCCUCGUGCAGCUACCUCCCCACAGGAAAUGCAGAGGGAGCUAUGCAGGGACCAGAGGCCCCUUCUCCCCAAACCUCUUCUCUUACCCAAGAUGACCCAGCCCAGUAAACACAGAAUCUCCAUUUCAUA
Molecule: non-coding RNA, 1061 nt
Organism: Delphinapterus leucas (beluga whale)
Lineage: Eukaryota; Metazoa; Chordata; Mammalia; Artiodactyla; Monodontidae
Source: RefSeq, a predicted model, not a curated record